Molecule: ribosomal RNA, 468 nt
Filed under: uncultured bacterium
Lineage: Bacteria
Description: partial 16S ribosomal RNA
Rfam family: Bacterial small subunit ribosomal RNA
Source: RNAcentral
GACGAACGCUGGCGGCGUGCUUAACACAUGCAAGUCGAACGGAAAGGCCCUGCUUUUGUGGGGUGCUCGAGUGGCGAACGGGUGAGUAACACGUGAGUAACCUGCCCUUGACUUUGGGAUAACUUCAGGAAACUGGGGCUAAUACCGGAUAGGAGCUCCUGCUGCAUGGUGGGGGUUGGAAAGUUUCGGCGGUUGGGGAUGGACUCGCGGCUUAUCAGCUUGUUGGUUGGGUAGUGGCUUACCAAGGCUUUGACGGGUAGCCGGCCUGAGAUGGUGACCGGCCACAUUGGGACGGAGAUGCGGCCCAGACUCCUACGGGAAGCAGCAGUGGGGAAUAUUGCACAAUGGGCGGAAGCCUGAUGCAGCAACGCCGCGUGCGGGAUGACGGCCUUCGGGUUGUAAACCGCUUUCGCCUGUGACGAAGCGUGAGUGACGGUAAUGGGUAAAGAAGCACCGGCUAACUACGUG